Molecule: ribosomal RNA, 463 nt
Filed under: uncultured bacterium
Lineage: Bacteria
Description: bacterial SSU rRNA
Rfam family: Bacterial small subunit ribosomal RNA
Source: RNAcentral
AACGAACGCUGGCGGCAUGCCUAACACAUGCAAGUCGAACGAGACCUUCGGGUCUAGUGGCGCACGGGUGCGUAACGCGUGGGAAUCUGCCCUUGGGUUCGGAAUAACUUCGGGAAACUGAAGCUAAUACCGGAUGAUGACGUAAGUCCAAAGAUUUAUCGCCCAAGGAUGAGCCCGCGUAGGAUUAGCUAGUUGGUGAGGUAAAGGCUCACCAAGGCGACGAUCCUUAGCUGGUCUGAGAGGAUGAUCAGCCACACUGGGACUGAGACACGGCCCAGACUCCUACGGGAGGCAGCAGUGGGGAAUUUUCCGCAAUGGGCGAAAGCCUGACGGAGCAAUACCGCGUGAGGGAGGAAGGCUCUUGGGUUGUAAACCUCUUUUCUCAGGGAAGAACAGAAUGACGGUACCUGAGGAAUAAGCAUCGGCUAACUCCGUGCCAGCAGCCGCGGUAAUGUGACUACUG